Manis javanica (Malayan pangolin) is the source of this 1489-nucleotide non-coding RNA. NCBI's taxonomy places the organism in Eukaryota, Metazoa, Chordata, Mammalia, Pholidota, Manidae. The record is from RefSeq and is a predicted model, not a curated record.
UUUAUUUUCUGUAGUUGAAGUUUAAAGCUGUUUAAUAUAUAUUACAUUGUGAUGUGGUUAUUAUUAACCGUUCAUUGAUAGGCAUGUAGGGUAGACAAGUGUGUUAUUUUAUAUUUUUUUAGGAGGCUAAGAUCACGCCCAAAAACGUUAUUUUUUGGUCUGUUUAUCAAAACAUUAUAUAUUAAAAAUCAGUAACUAUCUGACACAUUUAAUUGGCUGUAGUUUUCCCCAAUUAACUUAUGCUCUUACAAAUUCAGCCCAUAAAAACCAUUUGCACUUGAAAGUGGUUUAGUCUUACCAGGAAUGGUGCCUCUCUCAGUGAAAAAUUUAAUAGCAACUUAUAAAUUAUGCCUUUAUUUAUUCUAACAGAAAGAUAUUUUCACCAUCUUUUUUCCAUAAUAGUUUGAUAGCAUGUGAGAUUGCAAAAGUAGGCUGUAGCCAUUUUAACUCAUGUUCCAUUUCAAACAUGAACUUUUAGAGACUUAAGUUGUAUUAAACCAGAGCAGCUCUCAUUAGAAGGCCUUUAGUGAUCCAAGUUCCAAGUAUAUUUUGAAGAGAUUGUGAUAUUUUUGAAUAUCAGAUAAAUCACAUACCUGAGAAACAUGAUACAUAAAGUUGCUGGCUAAAUGAACUUUCCCAAACUGAGUGACAAGUGGGUUCUUUAACUCUAGACUGCAGUAGAAUGCGUCCGUGGGGGACAGCAGGAGGCGUCAACUGUGUGUUUUUUGUCCUCCUUCCAGCUUCAACAUCGCCUUAUGGCACGUGUGGUCGUUUUUCACUCCACUGUUGUUAUUUACCCAAUUUAUGGGGGUCGUAAUGUUGAUCUCACUCCUUGGAUGAUUUCCAGAGAUUUAAGGGCAUGUCAAUUUAAAACGAAUGAUCCAACAUCCAGCUAUAGCUGAAAGCAAGGCAGACAUAAUGGAAAAGCUGCAAUGUGUUUUUGCAUCUGUGAAGUUGGGUGGGUUCCUUGGAAAAAUUAUAACAAUUAGUAUGGUUAAAAUCAGAAUAAAUUACAUUUUAUUUGCAUAUUAAGGUCAAGUGAUUAAAUAAUUUUUCAGAUUCAAACCAAAUACUCUAUUUGAAAUAGAAAUAAUUAAUUUGCAUUGUUAAUUUGAGUUAUUAGAGAAAGUAUUGGUGUAAAAAUUUGAAUGAAGUUUCAUUAUAGAUGCAUAAUGUACUCCCGAUAGUGUAGAUAAAUUGUUCAGGCUUCCAUUUAAGGGAUAGCAGUUCAUUGUGUAAGAUGACUGGGUGUGUGUAUAAAGGGACGACAAUGUCACGUGCCUUUAGCCCAACUUCAGCAGUUACUGUGUAUCUCUUUAAAAUAGUUUGUUAGGAGAGGGGACCAAUUGAAACUAUGUUUUCUCAUCACUCUAGAUUGUAUGUGUAAAUUAUUGGCUUUUUAGCAUUUGUUUAACAUACCAACUUUUAAUCAUUUUAAGUGUGUAUAAUUUUUUCCUUAACAUUUAAAUAAAAUAUUUUUCUAACUUUA